RNAcentral lists this ribosomal RNA (268 nucleotides) under Deltaproteobacteria bacterium. RNAcentral describes it as "partial 23S ribosomal RNA". It matches the Rfam family "Bacterial large subunit ribosomal RNA", at positions 2672 to 2925 of the family's 2925-position model. The record is from RNAcentral. Lineage: Bacteria; Pseudomonadati; Myxococcota; Myxococcia.
CUGUUCCUAGUACGAGAGGACCGGAAUGGACGAACCAAUGGUGUUCCAGUUGUCGCGCCAGCGGCAUUGCUGGGUAGCUAAGUUCGGAAUGGAUAACCGCUGAAAGCAUCUAAGCGGGAAGCCAACCUCGAGAUUAGAUAUCCCUCUGUAUGGAAACAUACAGACUGAAGACCCCUUGAAGACUACAAGGUUGAUAGGCCAGGUGUGUAAGCAUAGCAAUAUGUUUAGCUAACUGGUACUAAUAGGUCGUGAGGCUUAGUCACAAAAC